CAAAGGCUUGGUCCUGACUUUAUUAUCAACUUUAGCCAAAUUUACACAUGCAAGUAUCCGCACCCCUGUGAGAAUGCCCCACAGUUCCCCGCCCGGGAACAAGGAGCUGGUAUCAGGCACAUCUCCCGAGCCCAUGACACCUUGCUUAGCCACACCCUCAAGGGAACUCAGCAGUGAUAGACAUUAAGCCAUAAGUGAAAACUUGACUUAGUUAAAGCUAAGAGGGCCGGUAAAACUCGUGCCAGCCACCGCGGUUAUACGAGAGGCCCAAGUUGACAAACACCGGCGUAAAGCGUGGUUAAGGAAAAACUCACACUAAAGCCAAACAUCUUCCAGGCUGUUAUACGCAACUGAAGAUAGGAAGUUCAACCACGAAAGUGGCUUUACCAGACCUGAAUCCACGAAAGCUAAGGAACAAACUGGGAUUAGAUACCCCACUAUGCCUAGCCCUAAACAUUGAUAGUAUUAUACACCCACUAUCCGCCCGGGAACUACGAGCAAUAGCUUAAAACCCAAAGGACUUGGCGGUGCUUUAGAUCCAC
This 542-nucleotide ribosomal RNA is filed under the name Taurulus bubalis. RNAcentral's name for it is "partial small subunit ribosomal RNA". It matches the Rfam family "Bacterial small subunit ribosomal RNA", at positions 7 to 930 of the family's 1533-position model. The record is from RNAcentral. Lineage: Eukaryota; Metazoa; Chordata; Actinopteri; Perciformes; Cottidae.